AUGACUGCUGCGGGACAUCGGCGCGACUGACUGCCCAUCAAAUAACGUUACCUAGAUUAAUAACUGGCUUCUUUUACACCUGCUUGCUUAUUUAGUGAGUCGUGGCUUGUCAUUGUUAACGGAGAACAAAAAAAACUGGAAUAUGGAGACAACAGAAGAGUCCGGCGGGAUCUGUUUCGUCUUCUAACUACACGAACUUCACCUUAUUACUAUUAUUCUGGCGACAUCAGGACCCCUUGCAGUGCAUCACCUGUGAGAUCACAAGAAGGCUGAAGAACCAGGAGUGACAAGAUAUCACUGAAUUAAAUUUUGGGAAUGAAAAAGCUCCUGCCACAAGAUCUUCAGAGCCAGACAAGCAUUGGAGCAGGGUUUACGGGGGAGAACAGGCACCCUAGACCAUCAUUGAUGCACAAAAGAUCCAACUGAUUGCUGCCAAUUUGGAGGAGGAUUCCUCGUUAUCUGCCAUGUUGCACUGUCACUUCUGGUACAGAUUCAUUGACCUUUUGUGUUAUGUUUUGUUUUUACUUAAUGCACUGUAUAGGUAGGAUUCUAAAUUAAAAUAUGCUUGUCCACAAAUAUUACCAAAACUACAGUUUACAGAACCCCCAGGGGUCAGGAGAAUAUUGUAGAAAAUAAUAGAAAAUUGAACAGGAAAAAACAAGCUAAAAACAGCAGACCACCACCCUGUCAAUGACUCUCCACCUGUUUCAAAGGUGAAAUUAUGAACUCAUCAUGAUAGUAAUGCUAACAGACAAAAUAGAGACAUGGAGAAAUAUAAUUUUUAGUUUUCAGUACCUCCUGGGGGGCUCUGAAGAACUGUUUGUAAAUAACUGGUUGAUAUUGUAAAUUUAUUUAUUUAUUUAUUUAUUUGAAAGGGACAGUACACAUUAAUGAACAUCAGUAUGUGAGUACACGUGUAAAUGUGUCGGAGUUAACAAGCCUGCUAAUUUACAUCCGUAGUCCCUUGGCAGGUAAUAGACAGACAGACACAUAGGAGGUAGACGAGAAAAAAAGAAGGAAUAAUAAUAAUAACAGUACACAAGGAGUUCACAUUAAAAUACCCAUUCAUACAUAGACAUAAAGUGCAGUGUGGAUUCUAUAAAGUGCCGGGUGUAAAGUGCCAGUUGUUAAAGUGCAAGUGCAUGAUAGU
Long non-coding RNA from Epinephelus fuscoguttatus (brown-marbled grouper), 1150 nucleotides. RefSeq lists it as uncharacterized. Lineage: Eukaryota; Metazoa; Chordata; Actinopteri; Perciformes; Serranidae. The transcript is spliced from 5 exons. The record is from RefSeq and is a predicted model, not a curated record.